CCUACGGGGGGCAGCAGUGAGGAAUAUUGGUCAAUGGGCGAAAGCCUGAACCAGCCAAGUCGCGUGAAGGAUGACUGCCCUAUGGGUUGUAAACUUCUUUUAUAAGGGAAUAAAAUGUUCCACGUGUGGGAUUUUGUAUGUACCAUAUGAAUAAGGAUCGGCUAACUCCGUGCCAGCAGCCGCGGUAAUACGGAGGAUCCGAGCGUUAUCCGGAUUUAUUGGGUUUAAAGGGUGCGUAGGUGGAUUUUUAAGUCAGUUGUGAAAGUUUGGGGCUCAACCGUAAAAUUGCAGUUGAAACUGGGAGGCUUGAGUAUAUUAGAGGUAGGCGGAAUGCGUGGUGUAGCGGUGAAAUGCUUAGAUAUCACGAAGAACUCCGAUUGCGAAGGCAGUUCACUGAACUACAACUGACACUGAUGCACGAAAGUGUGGGGAUCAAACAGGAUUAGAUACCCUGGUAGUC
Molecule: ribosomal RNA, 460 nt
Filed under: uncultured bacterium
Lineage: Bacteria
Description: partial 16S ribosomal RNA
Rfam family: Bacterial small subunit ribosomal RNA
Source: RNAcentral